AAAUGUCGCUUGGGGAGCUUGUCAGACAGGCUGAGAGGAAAUUAAAAAUUUCGACCCUUAUACCUGAUGCGGAUAAUGCCGCCGUAGGGAAUCUUUUUAUUGCCGUU
This is a regulatory RNA element of Roseburia sp. CAG:303, 107 nucleotides long. It matches the Rfam family "TPP riboswitch aptamer (THI element)". From Rfam's summary of the family: Vitamin B(1) in its active form thiamin pyrophosphate (TPP) is an essential coenzyme that is synthesised by coupling of pyrimidine and thiazole moieties in bacteria. The previously detected thiamin-regulatory element, thi box was extended, resulting in a new, highly conserved RNA secondary structure, the THI element, which is widely distributed in eubacteria and also occurs in some archaea. Analysis of operon structures identified a large number of new candidate thiamin-regulated genes, mostly transporters, in various prokaryotic organisms. The record is from Rfam. NCBI's taxonomy places the organism in Bacteria, Bacillati, Bacillota, Clostridia, Lachnospirales, Lachnospiraceae.